This 161-nucleotide small nuclear RNA is filed under the name Trifolium pratense (red clover). Its description in RNAcentral is "snRNA U1". It matches the Rfam family "U1 spliceosomal RNA". Rfam says of the family: U1 is a small nuclear RNA (snRNA) component of the spliceosome (involved in pre-mRNA splicing). Its 5' end forms complementary base pairs with the 5' splice junction, thus defining the 5' donor site of an intron. There are significant differences in sequence and secondary structure between metazoan and yeast U1 snRNAs, the latter being much longer (568 nucleotides as compared to 164 nucleotides in human). Lineage: Eukaryota; Viridiplantae; Streptophyta; Magnoliopsida; Fabales; Fabaceae. The record is from RNAcentral.
AUACUUACCUGGAUGGGGUCAAUGGGUGAUCAAGAAUGCCCAUGGCCUAGCCAAGUGACCUCCAUUGCACUUAGGAGGGGCGCUAGCCUAAGGUCUACCCAAGUGGUGGAGCCUACAUCAUAAUUUGUUGCUGUGGGGGCCUGCGUUCGCGCGGCCCCUUU